GACGAACGCUGGCGGCGUGCUUAACACAUGCAAGUCGAACGAAGCUUGAUUACGGAUUCUUCGGAUGAAGUAUGAUAUGACUGAGUGGCGGACGGGUGAGUAACGCGUGAGUAACCUGCCCUUCAGAGGGGGAUAGCGUUUGGAAACGAACGGUAAUACCGCAUAAUGUAUUUUGACCGCAUGAUCGAAAUACCAAAGAUUUAUCGCUGAAGGAUGGACUCGCGUCUGAUUAGGUAGUUGGUGGGGUAACGGCCUACCAAGCCGACGAUCAGUAGCCGGACUGGGAGGUUGAUCGGCCACAUUGGGACUGAGACACGGCCCAGACUCCUACGGGAGGCAGCAGUGGGGAAUAUUGCACAAUGGGCGCAAGCCUGAUGCAGCAACGCCGCGUGAAGGAAGACGGUUUUCGGAUUGUAAACUUCUGUUCUUAGGGAAGAAUAAUGACGGUAGCUAAGGAGCAAGCCACGGCUAACUACGUG
This 479-nucleotide ribosomal RNA is filed under the name uncultured bacterium. RNAcentral describes it as "partial 16S ribosomal RNA". It matches the Rfam family "Bacterial small subunit ribosomal RNA", at positions 28 to 507 of the family's 1533-position model. The record is from RNAcentral.